RNAcentral lists this ribosomal RNA (486 nucleotides) under uncultured bacterium. Its description in RNAcentral is "bacterial SSU rRNA". It matches the Rfam family "Bacterial small subunit ribosomal RNA", at positions 29 to 489 of the family's 1533-position model. The record is from RNAcentral.
AACGAACGCUGGCGGCGUGCUUAACACAUGCAAGUCGAACGAGAAAGCGGGCUUCGGUCCGCUAGUAAAGUGGCAGACGGGUGAGUAACACGUGGGUAACCUGCCCGGAGGUGGGGGACAACCCUCCGAAAGGAGGGCUAAUACCGCAUGAUAUCCCUGAGGCUUCGGCCUUGAGGAUCAAAGCUAGCCUCUACAUGUAAGCUAGCUCCACCGGAGGGGCCCGCGGCCCAUUAGCUAGUUGGGAGGUAACGGCUCACCAAGGCGACGAUGGGUAGCCGGCCUGAGAGGGUGUUCGGCCACACUGGAACUGAGACACGGUCCAGACUCCUACGGGAGGCAGCAGUGAGGAAUCUUGCGCAAUGGGCGAAAGCCUGACGCAGCGACGCCGCGUGGAGGACGAAGGUCUUCGGAUCGUAAACUCCUGUCAAGUGGGACGAAGGCUGUUGGGAUGAAUAAGCCCAGCAGUUGACGGUACCGCUGAAGGAG